UAAAAAUUGAGCAAUUUAGAGUUUAGAUUUACCUAUACAAAAUCUGACAACUGCAUCGUCUCCAGAACAUCUGAAAAUGCUAAGAUUGACUAUAAUAUAGAUCAUAUUUCAAGACAGACCAUCAAAUAGUCAGAUUUGACCGAAAAUGCGGCCCUGAUGCUAAUUAACUACCAUCAAUCCGAUCGUACCAAGCGAUCUGGACCGUCCGAU
Molecule: unclassified non-coding RNA, 210 nt
Filed under: Hevea brasiliensis (rubber tree)
Lineage: Eukaryota; Viridiplantae; Streptophyta; Magnoliopsida; Malpighiales; Euphorbiaceae
Source: RNAcentral